GACGAACGCUGGCGGCGUGCCUAAUACAUGCAAGUAGAACGCUGAAGGAGGAGCUUACUUCUCUGGAUGAGUUGCGAACGGGUGAGUAACGCGUAGGUAACCUGCCUGGUAGCGGGGGAUAACUAUUGGAAACGAUAGCUAAUACCGCAUAAGAGUAGAUGUUGCAUGACAUUCACUAAAAAGGUGCAAUUGCACCACUACCAGAUGGACCUGCGUUGUAUUAGCUAGUUGGUGGGGUAACGGCUUACCAAGGCGACGAUACAUAGCCGACCUGGGAGGGUGAUCGGCCACACUGGGACUGAGACACGGCCCAGACUCCUACGGGAGGCAGCAGUAGGGAAUCUUCGGCAAUGGACGGAAGUCUGACCGAGCAACGCCGCGUGAGUGAAGAAGGUUUCGGAUCGUAAAGCUCUGUUGUAAGAGAAGAACGAGUGUGAGAGUGGAAAGUUCACACUGUGACGGUAUCUUACCAGAAAGGGACGGCUAACUACGUGCCAGCCGCCGCCGUAA
This 510-nucleotide ribosomal RNA is filed under the name uncultured bacterium. RNAcentral's name for it is "partial 16S ribosomal RNA". It matches the Rfam family "Bacterial small subunit ribosomal RNA", at positions 28 to 523 of the family's 1533-position model. The record is from RNAcentral.